This 401-nucleotide ribosomal RNA is filed under the name Staphylococcus aureus. Its description in RNAcentral is "bacterial SSU rRNA". It matches the Rfam family "Bacterial small subunit ribosomal RNA", at positions 196 to 585 of the family's 1533-position model. Lineage: Bacteria; Bacillati; Bacillota; Bacilli; Caryophanales; Staphylococcaceae. The record is from RNAcentral.
AAAAGUGAAAGACGGUCUUGCUGUCACUUAUAGAUGGAUCCGCGCUGCAUUAGCUAGUUGGUAAGGUAACGGCUUACCAAGGCAACGAUGCAUAGCCGACCUGAGAGGGUGAUCGGCCACACUGGAACUGAGACACGGUCCAGACUCCUACGGGAGGCAGCAGUAGGGAAUCUUCCGCAAUGGGCGAAAGCCUGACGGAGCAACGCCGCGUGAGUGAUGAAGGUCUUCGGAUCGUAAAACUCUGUUAUUAGGGAAGAACAUAUGUGUAAGUAACUGUGCACAUCUUGACGGUACCUAAUCAGAAAGCCACGGCUAACUACGUGCCAGCAGCCGCGGUAAUACGUAGGUGGCAAGCGUUAUCCGGAAUUAUUGGGCGUAAAGCGCGCGUAGGCGGUUUUUUA